This 423-nucleotide ribosomal RNA is filed under the name uncultured bacterium. Its description in RNAcentral is "partial 16S ribosomal RNA". It matches the Rfam family "Bacterial small subunit ribosomal RNA", at positions 359 to 774 of the family's 1533-position model. The record is from RNAcentral.
GAAUCUUCCACAAUUGACGAAAGUCUGAUGGAGCAAUGCCGCGUGAGUGAAGAAGGUUUUCGGAUCGUAAAACUCUGUUGGGAGGGAAGAACAAGUUUGAGAGUAACAGCUCGUACCUUGACGGUACCUCCUUAGAAAGCCACGGCUAACUACCUGCCAGCCGCCGCGGUAAUACGUAGGUGGCCAGCGUUGUCCGGAAUUAUUCGGCGUAAAGCGCGCGCAGUCGUUCCUUUAAGUCUGAUGUGAAAUCCCACGGCUCAACCGUGGAAGGUCAUUGGAAACUGGGGGACUUGAGUACAGAAGAGGAAAGCGGAAUUCCAAGUGUAGCGGUGAAAUGCGUAGAGAUUUGGAGGAACACCAGUGGCGAAGGCGGCUUUCUGGUCUGUAACUGACGCUGAGGCGCGAAAGCGUGGGGAGCAAACA